UCCUGGGUGAUGCGGUUUUUACUGUUGU
Molecule: small RNA, 28 nt
Filed under: Bombyx mori (domestic silkworm)
Lineage: Eukaryota; Metazoa; Arthropoda; Insecta; Lepidoptera; Bombycidae
Description: ovarian small RNA-27948
Source: RNAcentral